RNAcentral lists this long non-coding RNA (1340 nucleotides) under Rattus norvegicus (Norway rat). RNAcentral describes it as "long non-coding RNA NONRATT024000". Lineage: Eukaryota; Metazoa; Chordata; Mammalia; Rodentia; Muridae. The record is from RNAcentral.
AAAAUUUCUACCACCUUUCAAACUAGUACUCCAUCUGCGGUCCAAGUGUUUGACACAUGAACCUCUGGGAUCAUUUCAUAGUUAAAUCAUAAUGUAAGUGGCCAAUACAUUUCAAGCUGUGUCAAGGUGAUGUAAUUAGUAUUCCUGAUAACAUGAAACUGUGAUAAGAUAUGAAAAUUCUAUUUUAAAAAUGUUUAACCACAAGUCUACCUAACUUUAUAUUUAUGUGUAGAAUACUUGUAUUUAUUUUUAGACAUAUAUUUAUCACUUUGUGUGCUGUAUUUUUUUAAGUCAAUUUGAGAAAAUGCUAGGUGCCCAAUGAAUUAAUUGGCAGACCCCUGUGUCUUCCUCUUUGCUGUGGCAGUGUCCCGUUCCCACACUAAGCCUUUUAAACAUGCUCUGCCCUUGGGAGCAAAGUCAGGAAACAUGUUGCUCCAGCUGUACUGUACUGUCUUGGUAAUGACAAAAAUGCUUUUCAAGCCCCAUAGAAGUGGCCUGCAAGUGGCAGUUCACCCUUCCAUCUCUGAACCACAACCGCUCACUAAAUGAACAGAUUCAUUUUUAAAGUGAUUAACAAUUUGGGGUGACCUUCAGAGUGUGUUUGACUGGGAUAAAGUAUUUUUGAAUGCCCAUAAGGCCACUUAAUAAUCAUUAGUGGGUGAGCCAGAGGCUGGGACAGAGCUCUGACUUACAUGUGAGAACUUUAUUCUCAGCCAACAGCUCCUUCACCAACUGGUAAGCAGUCCCACCUGCCAUAUCCUGAGGUUUAAAAAUAGUGAGUGCUCACCUUAAACCACGGUACCUUAGGCUUUGCACUUGUUUUUGGUAGAGCAGGAAUAAAAUAUUUUGAUGGAAAGAAGUCAGUUUUAUGUAACCAGUGAUGUGAAAAAUUGAUCUCCUGGGAAACUCCUUAUAUAGCCAUUUUUAAAUGCAAAUAUAUUAUUAUGAUUGGUUACAAGAGAUUAGCGUUUCAUGUUUAAUUGUAAUAUUUCUCACCUACCCUCUUCUUUCCUCUCAGUUAUAUCAUUUAUCAGUAAAUGAGUGUUUUACGAGUCCCAUUUUGAACAUUAUCUUUUGAAUAUUCUAUAAAACAUACCUAAUGGUUUCGUUGUCAGCUGAGGCAUACUGUGGAAGGAGAGGCAGUCGCUGCCCCCUGGUGCCUUCAUUCUGUCUUCAGUGUGGCUCUGCUUCAGUCACCUCAAAAGAAGGUGCUUAGACCAUCUGUAAUUUUAAUAUGUGUGCAUUUGGAUACAUAUAGACUAUGUAAAGAGAGAGGUAAAUGGAUUUAUGUUUUCCAGUGAUUUCAUAAUAAAUCCCUUAAGAGAGCUUAUUUCAUUUAA